AACGCAGAGUGUCAUCCCUGGCCUCACCAAGUCACCACCACACUUGCUCCUCAGACAAUUGCAAGGCAAAUCCGUGAUUGUAGACAAAGUUGGUCACUUGUCUUGC
This is a long non-coding RNA of Telopea speciosissima, 106 nucleotides long. RefSeq lists it as uncharacterized. The record is from RefSeq and is a predicted model, not a curated record. The transcript is spliced from 3 exons. NCBI's taxonomy places the organism in Eukaryota, Viridiplantae, Streptophyta, Magnoliopsida, Proteales, Proteaceae.